AGAGUGAACGCUGGCGGUAGGCCUAACACAUGCAAGUCGAACGGCAGCACAGUAGGAGCUUGCUCUUACGGGUGGCGAGUGGCGGACGGGUGAGGAAUACAUCGGAAUCUACCUUUUGGUGGGGGAUAACGUAGGGAAACUUACGCUAAUACCGCAUACGCCCUUCGGGGGAAAGCCGGGACCAGCAAUGGCCUGGCGCCGAUAGAUGAGCCGAUGUCGGAUUAGCUAGUGGUGAGGUAUGGCUCACCAAGGCGACGAUCCGUAGCUGGUCUGAGAGGAUGAUC
Molecule: ribosomal RNA, 284 nt
Filed under: uncultured soil bacterium
Lineage: Bacteria
Description: partial 16S ribosomal RNA
Rfam family: Bacterial small subunit ribosomal RNA
Source: RNAcentral